GUCAGCAACUGAGUCUUUCUUCUCAAUUACCUAACUCUAGCUCCAGCUGUGGUGAAACCACUUCAUUGGAGAUAAUUAAAGCUGCUAGCAAUGCUCUUUGGCUAGAGUACGAGAUAAUAAAUGAGGAUGAAAGUGAAUUGCAUGCUGAAAUGUCUGAUGAUAAGGCAUAUGAUAAGCCGUUGAUAUCAAAGAAGAGAACUGAUGACUCAAUGAUGUCAUUAGUGGACUGUUUCAAGGGGGAUAGUGACAGAAAAUGCUGGGCUUCUUUCCAAGAGCGUAUAGCCAAAGCUCCAGAACAAGUGUUGAGAUAUUGCAG
Molecule: unclassified non-coding RNA, 316 nt
Filed under: Hevea brasiliensis (rubber tree)
Lineage: Eukaryota; Viridiplantae; Streptophyta; Magnoliopsida; Malpighiales; Euphorbiaceae
Source: RNAcentral